GACGAACGCUGGCAGCGUGCUUAACACAUGCAAGUCGUACGGAAAGGCCCUGCUUUUGUGGGGUGCUCGAGUGGCGAACGGGUGAGUAACACGUGAGUAACCUGCCCUUGACUUUGGGAUAACUUCAGGAAACUGGGGCUAAUACCGGAUAGGAGCUCCUGCUGCAUGGUGGGGGUUGGAAAGUUUCGGCGGUUGGGGAUGGACUCGCGGCUUAUCAGCUUGUUGGUGGGGUAGUGGCUUACCAAGGCUUUGACGGGUAGCCGGCCUGAGAGGGUGACCGGCCACAUGGGGACUGAGAUACGGCCCAGACUCCUACGGGAGGCAGCAGUGGGGAAUAUUGCACAAUGGGCGGAAGCCUGAUGCAGCAACGCCGCGUGCGGGAUGACGGCCUUCGGGUUGUAAACCGCUUUCGCCUGUGACGAAGCGUGAGUGACGGUAAUGGGUAAAGAAGCACCGGCUAACUACGUG
RNAcentral lists this ribosomal RNA (468 nucleotides) under uncultured bacterium. RNAcentral's name for it is "partial 16S ribosomal RNA". It matches the Rfam family "Bacterial small subunit ribosomal RNA", at positions 28 to 507 of the family's 1533-position model. The record is from RNAcentral.